CACGUAGGCGGGUCUUUAAGUCGGGGGUGAAAUCCUGGAGCUCAACUCCAGAACUGCCUUCGAUACUGAGGAUCUCGAGUCCGGGAGAGGUGAGUGGAACUCCGAGUGUAGAGGUGAAAUUCGUAGAUAUUCGGAAGAACACCAGUGGCGAAGGCGGCUCACUGGCCCGGUACUGACGCUGAGGUGCGAAAGCGUGGGGAAGCAAACA
RNAcentral lists this ribosomal RNA (208 nucleotides) under uncultured bacterium. RNAcentral describes it as "partial 16S ribosomal RNA". It matches the Rfam family "Bacterial small subunit ribosomal RNA", at positions 568 to 774 of the family's 1533-position model. The record is from RNAcentral.